Molecule: ribosomal RNA, 482 nt
Filed under: uncultured bacterium
Lineage: Bacteria
Description: partial 16S ribosomal RNA
Rfam family: Bacterial small subunit ribosomal RNA
Source: RNAcentral
AUUGAACGCUGGCGGCAUGCUUUACACAUGCAAGUCGAACGGUAACAGGCCGCAAGGUGCUGACGAGUGGCGGACGGGUGAGUAAUGCAUCGGAACGUGCCCAGUCGUGGGGGAUAACUACUCGAAAGAGUAGCUAAUACCACAUACGAUCUAUGGAUGAAAGCGGGGGACCGUAAGGCCUCGCGCGAUUGGAGCGGCCGAUGUCGGAUUAGGUAGUUGGUGGGGUAAAGGCUCACCAAGCCAACGAUCUGUAGCUGGUCUGAGAGGACGACCAGCCACACUGGGACUGAGACACGGCCCAGACUCCUACGGGAGGCAGCAGUGGGGAAUUUUGGACAAUGGGCGCAAGCCUGAUCCAGCAAUGCCGCGUGCAGGAAGAAGGCCUUCGGGUUGUAAACUGCUUUUGUACGGAACGAAACGGCUCUGGUUAAUACCCGGGGCUAAUGACGGUACCGGAAGAAUAAGCACCGGCUAACUACGUG